This 77-nucleotide transfer RNA is filed under the name Bacillota bacterium. Its description in RNAcentral is "tRNA-Arg". It matches the Rfam family "tRNA". From Rfam's summary of the family: Transfer RNA (tRNA) molecules are approximately 80 nucleotides in length. Lineage: Bacteria; Bacillati; Bacillota. RNAcentral also lists the same sequence under 2 other names. The record is from RNAcentral.
GUCCCCAUAGCUCAGCUGGAUAGAGCAACAGCCUUCUAAGCUGUAGGUCAAACGUUCGAAUCGUUUUGGGGACGCCA